CCCUUAGAUGUUCUGGGCCGCACGCGCGCUACACUGAUGCAUUCAACGAGCACCCGCUGGGCCGAGAGGUCCGGCUAAUCUUUGAACGUGCAUCGUGCUGGGGAUAGAUGAUUGCAAUUAUUCAUCUUCAACGAGGAAUUCCUAGUAAACGCAAGUCAUCAGCUUGCAUUGAUUACGUCCCUGCCCUUUGUACACACCGCCCGUCGCACCUACCGAUUGAAUGGUCCGGUGAAAUCUCGGGACGGCGGCUUGGUCGCUUGCGUCCGACUGCUGAAACUUGAUUAAACCAUAUCAUUUAGAGGAAGGUGAANUCGUANCA
RNAcentral lists this ribosomal RNA (319 nucleotides) under uncultured eukaryote. RNAcentral's name for it is "partial 18S ribosomal RNA". It matches the Rfam family "Eukaryotic small subunit ribosomal RNA", at positions 1470 to 1796 of the family's 1831-position model. The record is from RNAcentral.